This 273-nucleotide ribosomal RNA is filed under the name uncultured Solibacillus sp. RNAcentral's name for it is "partial 16S ribosomal RNA". It matches the Rfam family "Bacterial small subunit ribosomal RNA", at positions 1098 to 1372 of the family's 1533-position model. The record is from RNAcentral. Lineage: Bacteria; Bacillati; Bacillota; Bacilli; Caryophanales; Caryophanaceae.
CACCUUGUCCUUAUAUGCGACAUCAUUAUGUUGGGAACUCUAAGGAGACUGCCGGUGACAAACCGGAGGAAGGUGGGGAUGACGUCAAAUCAUCAUGCCCCUUAUGAUUUGGGCUACACACGUGCUACAAUGGACAAUACAAAGGGUAGCAAAACCGCGAGGUCAAGCAAAUCCCAUAAAACCCGUUCUCAGUUCGGAUUGUAGUCUGCAACUCGACUACAUGAAGCUGGAAUCGCUAGUAAUCGCAGAUCAGCAUGCUACGGUGAAUACCUU